GGUAGUAUAGCUCAGUGGUGGAGCAUUUGCCUAGCAUGUACAAGACCCUGGGUUCAAUCCUUAGUACCA
RNAcentral lists this transfer RNA (69 nucleotides) under Ictidomys tridecemlineatus (thirteen-lined ground squirrel). RNAcentral's name for it is "Spermophilus tridecemlineatus (thirteen-lined ground squirrel) tRNA". It matches the Rfam family "tRNA". From Rfam's summary of the family: Transfer RNA (tRNA) molecules are approximately 80 nucleotides in length. Their secondary structure includes four short double-helical elements and three loops (D, anti-codon, and T loops). Lineage: Eukaryota; Metazoa; Chordata; Mammalia; Rodentia; Sciuridae. The record is from Rfam by way of RNAcentral.